This 447-nucleotide ribosomal RNA is filed under the name uncultured bacterium. RNAcentral describes it as "partial 16S ribosomal RNA". It matches the Rfam family "Bacterial small subunit ribosomal RNA", at positions 29 to 523 of the family's 1533-position model. The record is from RNAcentral.
AACGAACGCUGGCGGCAGGCUUAACACAUGCAAGUCGAGCGCCCCGAAAGGGGAGCGGCAGACGGGUGAGUAACGCGUGGGAAUGUGCCCUUUGGUCUGGAAUAACUCAGGGAAACUUGAGCUAAUACCGGAUAAGCCCUUCGGGGGAAAGAUUUAUUGCUAUUGGGGCAGCCCGCGUCAGAUUAGCUAGUUGGUGAGGUAAAAGCUCACCAAGGCGAUGAUCUGUAGCUGGUCUGAGAGGACGACCAGCCACACUGGGACUGAGACACGGCCCAGACUCCUACGGGAGGCAGCAGUGGGGAAUAUUGGACAAUGGGGGCAACCCUGAUCCAGCCAUGCCGCGUGAGUGAUGAAGGCCUUAGGGUUGUAAAGCUCUUUUACUCGGGAAGAUAAUGACUGUACCGAGAGAAUAAGCCCCGGCUAACUUCGUGCCAGCAGCCGCGGUAA